Non-coding RNA from Caenorhabditis elegans, 71 nucleotides. The record is from Ensembl. NCBI's taxonomy places the organism in Eukaryota, Metazoa, Nematoda, Chromadorea, Rhabditida, Rhabditidae.
AUUUUGGAACUAAAAAAAGUAGGACUUAAAUAUGUAAAAUGUUAAUACUCCAAAUUUUCAAACGUUUGGCA